GACGAACGCUGGCGGCGUGCUUAACACAUGCAAGUCGAGCGAUGAAGUUCCUUCGGGAAUGGAUUAGCGGCGGAUGGGUGAGUAACACGUGGGUAACCUGCCUCAUAGAGGGGAAUAGCCUUCCGAAAGGAAGAUUAAUACCGCAUAAGAUUGUAGUAUCGCAUGAUAUAGCAAUUAAAGGAGCAAUCCGCUAUGAGAUGGACCCGCGUCGCAUUAGCUAGUUGGUGAGGUAACGGCUCACCAAGGCGACGAUGCGUAGCCGACCUGAGAGGGUGAUCGGCCACAUUGGGACUGAGACACGGCCCAGACUCCUACGGGAGGCAGCAGUGGGGAAUAUUGCACAAUGGGGGAAACCCUGAUGCAGCAACGCCGCGUGAGUGAUGACGGUCUUCGGAUUGUAAAACUCUGUCUUCAGGGACGAUAAUGACGGUACCUGAGGAGGAAGCCACGGCUAACUACGUGCCAGCCGCCGCCGUAA
Molecule: ribosomal RNA, 478 nt
Filed under: uncultured bacterium
Lineage: Bacteria
Description: partial 16S ribosomal RNA
Rfam family: Bacterial small subunit ribosomal RNA
Source: RNAcentral